CGAAGAGUUAUUCCAUGGGGGCUAACUUAGCUUCCCGCCCAGAGCCACGAGCUGCUGGCUUUCUUUCCCUUUUCGGCAGCCAUCGAGUGCGGUUUAGUUCAAUUUGGCCUUGUGUAAAGUGACGGGUAGAAUUUCCGGAUUAGAUAUAGCGCUAAAUCCUGUUUACGGGUUUGGCGCUUAGUAUCCGAUAUUGGAUCCGGCCAUUGCUGUAGAGGGAACAAUUCAUCAAGACACCCCAAAAGAAGAGCGAAGUCAUCCGACGGGGGAGGGAAAUUAUCGCCGCAUAAGGGGUCUCAAAGGCCUAAGAGUUCCCCGAGAUAAUUAUUUAAUCAGCCUAAGUCGCUGGGAGCGGAGCUAGGAUAAAGAGAGGGCAAAAGAGUCAAAAAGAACUCGAGAUGUAACACCUGCCCAAAUUGCACAUAAUAUUUAUAUUCCCUCUUCAUCAUCUUCGUUAUCUCCCGUCUGCGAGCGAAACUUAGCGAGGCUCAGCUUGGUAGGCAGUUUUUCGGCGCGCUGAUCUAGGU
Molecule: long non-coding RNA, 524 nt
Organism: Drosophila gunungcola (fruit fly)
Lineage: Eukaryota; Metazoa; Arthropoda; Insecta; Diptera; Drosophilidae
Exons: 3
Source: RefSeq, a predicted model, not a curated record